Molecule: ribosomal RNA, 492 nt
Filed under: uncultured bacterium
Lineage: Bacteria
Description: partial 16S ribosomal RNA
Rfam family: Bacterial small subunit ribosomal RNA
Source: RNAcentral
GAUGAACGCUAGCUACAGGCUUAACACAUGCAAGUCGAGGGGCAGCGGUAUCGAAAGCUUGCUUUCGGUAGCCGGCGACCGGCGCACGGGUGAGUAACGCGUAUCGAACCUGCCUCAUACUCGGGAAUAGCCUUGCGAAAGUAAGAUUAAUGCCCGGUGUUUUCAGAGUCCCGCAUGAGGCUUUGAACAAAGAUUUAUCGGUAUGAGAUGGCGAUGCGUCCCAUUAGCUUGUUGGCGGGGUAACGGCCCACCAAGGCAUCGAUGGGUAGGGGUUCUGAGAGGAAGGUCCCCCACAUUGGAACUGAGACACGGUCCAAACUCCUACGGGAGGCAGCAGUGAGGAAGAUUGGUCAAUGGGCGGAAGCCUGAACCAGCCAAGUAGCGUGCAGGAAGACGGCCCUCCGGGUUGUAAACUGCUUUUAGUUGGGAAUAAAACGGGGCUCGUGAGCCCCCUUGCAUGUACCAUCAGAAAAAGGACCGGCUAAUUCCGUG